CCUAAAUUCUAGCCCACAAAAUUCAUAUGCCCCCCUCCUCCUCCUCUCCUCUAUAAUAAAACAUUUUUUCUUUAAGUAAAGGCGAUUGAAAAUUUUCUAAGCGCUUCAGAAAAAGUACCGCAAGGGAAUGAUGAAAUAGCUAUGAAACAGUAUUUAAGCCCCCAAUAGCAGAGACUCACCCUCGUACCUUUUGCAUCAUGGUCUAGCCAGUCUCCCCAAGCAAAACGAAACUUUUAGUUUGACCUCCCGAAACUAAGCGAGCUACUUCGGAACAGCCCCCUAGGGGCCAACCCGUCUCUGUUGCAAAAGAGUGGGAAGAUUUCUAAGUAGAAGUGACAAGCCUAACGAGCUUAGAGAUAGCUGGUUAUUCAGGAAAAGAGUCUCAGCUCUUCCUUAAGUUUUCUUAUGUAACUAUAACCUAAACAACACCAUAAACUUAAGAGCUAUUCAAAUAAGGCACAGCUUAUUUGAAAUAGGACACAACCUACAACACCGGGUAAAUAUGGGCAUAAAAAAAUUAAGUGGGCCUAAAAGCAGCCACCUUCCGAAAAGCGUCAAAGCUUAACUACUAACUGCCCUUAAUCUCCUUAUCUUCCCUGAACCCUUCUUUACUACUGAAUUAUUUUAUACACUUAUAAAACCAAUUAUGCUAGAACUAGUAACAAGAAAUUUGCCUUUCUCCUGAAUGCAAGCAUAAACCAAAAUGGACACGCCAUUGGCUUUUAACGUAAAUGUUAAUUUUAUAGUACCCAAAGCCAGAAUAAUCUAUAAUCCUCAACGUUAACCUAACACCAGAGCAUUUCAGAAAAGAUUAAAAGAGAGAGAAGGAACUCGGCAAACCCUAGCCCCGCCUGUUUACCAAAAACACCGCCUCUUGCUUAAAUAUAAGAGGUCCAGCCUGCCCAGUGACCUAGAUUCAACGGCCGCGGUACUCUAACCGUGCGAAGGUAGCAUAAUCACUUGCCCUCUAAAUAAGGACUUGUAUCAACGGCACCACGAGGGCUUCACUGUCUCCUCUCUCCAAUCAGUGAAACUGAUCCUCCCGUGAAGAAGCGGGAAUAAGUCUAUAAGACGAGAAGACCCCAUGGAGCUUAAGACCCAUCAUGCAACUUAUCCCUCCUUAGACCACCAUAUGCUAAGCCCUGCAUGAUAGUCUUAGGUUGGGGAGACCACGGAGAAUAACCUAACCUCCAUGACAAACGGACCAAAUCCUUAUCUACGAGCCACACCUCUAAGAAUUAAUAAAUUAAUGUUAAUGACCCAAAUAUUUGACUAACGAACCAAGUUACCCUGGGGAUAACAGCGCAAUCUACUUCAAGAGCCCCUAUCGACAAGUAGGUUUACGACCUCGAUGUUGGAUCAGGGUAUCCUGGUGGUGCAGCCG
RNAcentral lists this ribosomal RNA (1384 nucleotides) under Wijayarana javana (Java torrent frog). RNAcentral describes it as "partial 16S ribosomal RNA". It matches the Rfam family "Bacterial large subunit ribosomal RNA", at positions 268 to 2561 of the family's 2925-position model. Lineage: Eukaryota; Metazoa; Chordata; Amphibia; Anura; Ranidae. The record is from RNAcentral.